GACGAACGCUGGCGGCGUGCUUAACACAUGCAAGUCGAACGGAAAGGCCCUGCUUUUGUGGGGUGCUCGAGUGGCGAACGGGUGAGUAACACGUGAGUAACCUGCCCUUGACUUUGGGAUAACUUCAGGAAACUGGGGCUAAUACCGGAUAGGAGCUCCUGCUGCAUUGUGGGGGUUGGAAAGUUUCGGCGGUUGGGGAUGGACUCGCGGCUCAUCAGCUUGUUGGUGGGGUAGUGGCUUACCAAGGCUUUGACGGGUAGCCGGCCUGAGAGGGUGACCGGCCACAUUGGGACUGAGAUACGGCCCAGACUCCUACGGGAGGCAGCAGUGGGGAAUAUUGCACAAUGGGCGGAAGCCUGAUGCAGCAACGCCGCGUGCGGGAUGACGGCCUUCGGGUUGUAAACCGCUUUCGCCUGUGACGAAGCGUGAGUGACGGUAACGGGUAAAGAAGCACCGGCUAACUACGUG
RNAcentral lists this ribosomal RNA (468 nucleotides) under uncultured bacterium. RNAcentral describes it as "partial 16S ribosomal RNA". It matches the Rfam family "Bacterial small subunit ribosomal RNA", at positions 28 to 507 of the family's 1533-position model. The record is from RNAcentral.